CGGGGCUAAGGUUUCGGGACUAAAUGUCCCACCUUUAGUCCCGGUUGGUAACAGCAACCGGGACUAAAAGGCGCGCCAGGUUGUGCCAUCUGGCCUCCACAUUUAGUCCCGGUUGUUGCUACCAACCGGGACUAAAGACUUUUUUCUUUUUUCUUUUUCUUUUCAUUUGGUUUUCCAUUUAGGGUUUACAAUUAUGUUAUUGUUAUUUUCGAAUACGUAUUGUUUGCUGGUAGCUAGUUUAUAAUUUAUAUAAUUUAAAGCAUUACAUAGAAAUAUACUAUAAAACACUAUAUAUAUAUAUAAAUAAUAUGUAUCUAUAGGUCCAUAAUAUAAUAUUUACACAUAUGCUUCACGGACAAAGUAUUUACAACAUAAUUUAUCUCCGCCACUCAAGCAUCGUACAAAUGAUCAUCGUUAUUUGGUUUCAUUGGCUCCUGAUGGUUGAAGUAGCACUCGCUACCGGGAUUCAGGACUUGGUCGUUAAGAAAUCCUGCGAUUGUCUCCUGAAUUUCUUUUAGGCGCACCGCAUCCAACAUCUGCUCCUUCAGCCACAUCUCCUUUAAUAGACAUUAAAGAAAAAAGUUAGAGGUAUGAAUAGGAUUUAUUAAAUAGCAACAAAUAAAUGAAAUAAACUUAUUAUAUAUACAUGUGACAUACUUUUAGGUGCUCAAGAUUAGUUCUUUUGGCAUACACCGUCAUAAACUCGCAUACAUAGUAGCCACACAAAUUGUUGCCCAGUGUCUGCCGUAGAACCCACUGAAGUAAGAUGGGCUUUGAAAGUGCUGCAUUCAACUCUGGACGGUGUUUUUGCACGAACCCAGCCCAAACCCUAGCAAUAAAACGAUCAUUAUUAAUUAUCCAUUACCAAGUUAAAAGAGCAGAAUUUAAUAUAUAGAUAUCGGAGUUACCCUAGAUAAUAUCUAUCAUUUCUUGGUAAUCGUCCUGUGGUUUUCUCAAUGAGUCAUAGAUUACCAAUUGACUUUGCCAGAGAUCAAUGACAAUUAGUAUCCAAUGAAAGCUGCAUUUGUGUGCAUAUGUAGGCAAAAUUAGUAUAUAUCUUCAUAUUGAUCUGAUUAAUUAGUUAAAUAGAAUGUACACACGAUAACAACACUUACUUAAAGUUGUAGGGAAAGAGUAUAUAUCUUUUAUCUUUUUGGUUGAUCAAGAACCUCCGUAGAUUUCUCUCCGUUUGAGUUCUCCAUAAGACAUACGGGGUCUUGUGGUCUUUGAAUACAACAUUUGGAUCCACAAAUCCAAUCUCCUUGUCAUUUCUAACUCUGAGGUCCCUCAUCAUGUUUCUGCAUAUGUAUAGCGGGUUUCUGUAAUU
RNAcentral lists this long non-coding RNA (1327 nucleotides) under Sorghum bicolor (sorghum). Its description in RNAcentral is "long non-coding RNA (SBIC_LNC014831)". The record is from RNAcentral. Lineage: Eukaryota; Viridiplantae; Streptophyta; Magnoliopsida; Poales; Poaceae.